CCUAACCUAAGACAUAAGCAGCCGACACCUUGUCUCUCUCUCUAAAACCUAACUCCUCUUCAUCAACUUCUCAUGUCUCAAAAACAUAAUCCUCUCUCCUCUCAUUCGAUCCACCCACACAAACAAACAAACACAGGGGAUCCUUCUUCUCUAAACCCAUGUGAUCUCUCCCUCUCUCUCGGUUAUUAUACACAAAGACAGGGAAGUAUUUUUCCCCAAAGCUCACUUGAAGAACUAUAAUCUCCUCACCAGAUUCUACAACAACCUGCACCAUCUCUCCCACUCGAUCUGUUUGGUCAAGAUGACCGGAGCCCCACCGGCCUCCCUCUUGCUUCACAGACGACAGCAACACCCACCACUCUCCGGUGGUGGCGAGCAGCGGGCGACAACAAAAUCAGAAGAGCCGACGAGAGAGAGAAAGGUGCCGGAAAGAAGAAUGACGGCGACUGUGGUGCCGUCGUCCAUAGCGGCGAAGCCGGUGUCGAGCAUCGGCAAGGUGAGACGGUGGCGAGAGAACCAGAGAAUGAGAGAGAAGUCUCCGAUGACGGCGACACUUCAGGCGACGGGUCUGUAAAUUCUCUUGACGAGUCACCGAUGGAAGGAUGACUUGAGUUGCAGUGUUGCUUCGACGCGAAAUAUUUGGUAAAAAUUUUAGUGACGCGAAGGAUUAUUUACGUUAAUUAUAAAGUUUUCAUUUAUUUCGUGAAACGAGUUCGAACCGAUUCAGAUUAGUGUUUAGUUUUUAUUUUGUCGUUUUUACAAAAAUUAUAUAUUGGUAAUUGAA
Helianthus annuus (common sunflower) is the source of this 784-nucleotide long non-coding RNA. RefSeq lists it as uncharacterized. The transcript is spliced from 2 exons. NCBI's taxonomy places the organism in Eukaryota, Viridiplantae, Streptophyta, Magnoliopsida, Asterales, Asteraceae. The record is from RefSeq and is a predicted model, not a curated record.